This 450-nucleotide ribosomal RNA is filed under the name uncultured bacterium. RNAcentral describes it as "bacterial SSU rRNA". It matches the Rfam family "Bacterial small subunit ribosomal RNA", at positions 331 to 794 of the family's 1533-position model. The record is from RNAcentral.
CCAGACUCCUACGGGAGGCAGCAGUGGGGGAUAUUGGACAAUGGGGGGAACCCUGAUGCAGCGACGCCGCGUGAGGGAAGACGGUUUUCGGAUUGUAAACCUCUGUCUUUAGGGACGAAACAAAUGACGGUACCUAAAGAGGAAGCCACGGCUAACUACGUGCCAGCAGCCGCGGUAAUACGUAGGUGGCGAGCGUUGUCCGGAAUUACUGGGUGUAAAGGGAGUGUAGGCGGGAAGGCAAGUCAGAAGUGAAAAUUAUGGGCUCAACCCAUAACCUGCUUUUGAAACUGUUUUUCUUGAGUGAAGCAGAGGCAAGCGGAAUUCCUAGUGUAGCGGUGAAAUGCGUAGAUAUUAGGAGGAACACCAGUGGCGAAGGCGGCUUGCUGGGCUUUUACUGACGCUGAGGCUCGAAAGCGUGGGGAGCAAACAGGAUUAGAUACCCCCGUACAU